CCUACGGGGGGCAGCAGUAGGGAAUCUUCCACAAUGGGCGAAAGCCUGAUGGAGCAACGCCGCGUGGGUGAAGAAGGUCUUCGGAUCGUAAAACCCUGUUGUUAGAGAAGAAAGUGCGUGAGAGUAACUGUUCACGUUUCGACGGUAUCUAACCAGAAAGCCACGGCUAACUACGUGCCAGCAGCCGCGGUAAUACGUAGGUGGCAAGCGUUAUCCGGAUUUAUUGGGCGUAAAGGGAACGCAGGCGGUCUUUUAAGUCUGAUGUGAAAGCCUUCGGCUUAACCGGAGUAGUGCAUUGGAAACUGGGAGACGUGAGUGCAGAAGAGGAGAGUGGAACUCCAUGUGUAGCGGUGAAAUGCGUAGAUAUAUGGAAGAGCACCAGUGGCGAAAGCGGCUCUCUGGUCUGUAACUGACGCUGAGGUUCGAAAGCGUGGGUAGCAAACAGGAUUAGAUACCCUGGUAUC
RNAcentral lists this ribosomal RNA (464 nucleotides) under uncultured bacterium. Its description in RNAcentral is "partial 16S ribosomal RNA". It matches the Rfam family "Bacterial small subunit ribosomal RNA", at positions 338 to 794 of the family's 1533-position model. The record is from RNAcentral.